Molecule: transfer RNA, 74 nt
Filed under: Pheidole fervida
Lineage: Eukaryota; Metazoa; Arthropoda; Insecta; Hymenoptera; Formicidae
Description: tRNA-Lys
Source: RNAcentral
CAUUAAAUGACUGAAAAAAGUAUUGAUUUUUUAAAUCAAAUAAUAAUAGAAUUAUUUUAAACUAUUUUUAAUGA